RNAcentral lists this ribosomal RNA (253 nucleotides) under uncultured bacterium. RNAcentral describes it as "partial 16S ribosomal RNA". It matches the Rfam family "Bacterial small subunit ribosomal RNA", at positions 524 to 776 of the family's 1533-position model. The record is from RNAcentral.
UACGGGGGGGGCAAGCGUUGUUCGGAAUUACUGGGCGUAAAGGGUUCGUAGGUGGCUUGUUAAGUUGGAUGUGAAAUCUCCUGGCUUAACCGGGAGGCGCCAUUCAAAACUGGGGAGCUUGAGGUCAGCAGGGGAAGGUGGAAUUCCCGGUGUAGUGGUGGAAUGCGUAGAGAUCGGGAGGAACACCAGUGGCGAAAGCGACCUUCUGGGCUGCACCUGACACUCUAGUGCGAAAGCGUGGGGAGCAAACAGG